Molecule: ribosomal RNA, 492 nt
Filed under: uncultured bacterium
Lineage: Bacteria
Description: partial 16S ribosomal RNA
Rfam family: Bacterial small subunit ribosomal RNA
Source: RNAcentral
AGUGAACGCUGGCGGUGGGCCUAACACAUGCGAGUCGAACGGCAGCGCAGUAAGAGCUUGCUCUGACGGGGGGCGGGUGGCGGGCGGGUGAGGAGUACAUCGGAAUCUAGUUUUUCGUGGGGGAUAACGUAGGGGGAGUUACGCUAGUACCGCAGACGACCUACGGUGGAGAGCAGGGGAUCGUCGGACCGGGCGGGAUUGAAUGAGCGGAUGUCGGAUUAGCUAGUUGGGGGGGUAAAGACCCACCAAGGCGACGAUCCGUAGCUGGUCUGAGAGGAUGAUCAGCCACACUGGAACUGAGACAGCGUCCAGACUACUACGGGACGGCGCAGUCUGCAAUAUUGGACAAUGGUCGCAAGUCUUAUACAGCGAUACCGAGUGGGUGAAGAAGGCCUUCGGGUUGUAAAGACCUCUUGUUGGGAAAGAAACGCAGCCGGUUAAUACCCCGCUGUUCUGACGGUACUCAAAGAAUAAGCACCGGCUAACUUCGUG